This 517-nucleotide ribosomal RNA is filed under the name bacterium enrichment culture clone SBR3. RNAcentral describes it as "bacterial SSU rRNA". It matches the Rfam family "Bacterial small subunit ribosomal RNA", at positions 350 to 858 of the family's 1533-position model. The record is from RNAcentral.
AGCAGUGGGGAAUUUUGGACAAUGGGCGCAAGCCUGAUCCAGCCAUGCCGCGUGAGUGAAGAAGGCCUUCGGGUUGUAAAGCUCUUUCGGCCGGGAAGAAAUCGUGUUCUCUAACAUAGGACAUGGAUGACGGUACCGGACUAAGAAGCACCGGCUAACUACGUGCCAGCAGCCGCGGUAAUACGUAGGGUGCGAGCGUUAAUCGGAAUUACUGGGCGUAAAGCGUGCGCAGGCGGUUUUGUAAGACAGAUGUGAAAUCCCCGGGCUUAACCUGGGAACUGCGUUUGUGACUGCAAGGCUAGAGUACGGCAGAGGGGGGUGGAAUUCCUGGUGUAGCAGUGAAAUGCGUAGAGAUCAGGAGGAACACCGAUGGCGAAGGCAGCCCCCUGGGCCUGUACUGACGCUCAUGCACGAAAGCGUGGGGAGCAAACAGGAUUAGAUACCCUGGUAGUCCACGCCCUAAACGAUGUCGACUAGUCGUUCGGAGCAGCAAUGCACUGAGUGACGCAGCUAACGC